UGGCAUUGCUUGUUAUAUGGAUAACUCUGGUAAUUCUAUAGCUAAUACAUGCUCACAAACCUGACUUGGUGGAAGGGUUGUGCUUAUUAGUUCCAGAACCAAUCCAAGCUCUGCUUGGUCAUGUGGUGAUUUAUGAUAAGUUAUCGAAUCAAACUGCGCAUGCUGAUGAUGCACCAUGUAAGUAUCUGACCUAUCAGCUUCCGACGGUAAGGUAUUGGCUUCCCGUGGCAAUGACAGGUAACGGAGAAUUAGGGUUUGAUUCCGGAGAGGGAGCCUGAGAAAUGGCUACCACAUCUAAGGAAGGCAGCAGGCGCGCAAAUUACCCAAUCCUGAUUUAGGGAGGUAGUGACAAGAAAUAACAAUACAUGGCAUCCAUGUCUUGUAAUUGGAAUGGGCUAAAUUCAAAUUAUUUUGUGAGUAUCAAUUGGAGGGCAAGUCUGGUGCCAGCAGCCGCGGUAAUUCCAGCUCCAAUAGCGUAUAUUAAAGUUGUUGCGGUUAAAAAGCUCGUAGUUUGAUUUCUGUUGCGGGUGACUGGUCCGCCCUCUGGGUGAGCAUCUGGUCUCGCCUUGGCAUUUUCUUAGGUAGCACAACUGCACUUGAUUGUGUGGCGUGUCACCAAAGGUGUUUACUUUGAGGAAAUCAGAGUGCUUCAAGCAGGCAUGUGUCUUGGAUACAUUAGCAUGGAAUAAUAGCAAAAGGUUUCAGCUUUUUAUUGUUGGUUUUUAGAGCUGAGACAAUGAUAAAUAGGGAUAGUUGGGGGCAUUUGUAUUUAACUGUCAGAGGUGAAAUUCUUGGAUUUGUUAAAGACACUCCUCUGCGAAAGCAUCUGCCAAAGAUGUUUUCUUUGAUCAAGAACGAAAGUUAGGGGAUCGAAGACGAUCAGAUACUGUCCUAGUCUUAACCAUAAACUAUGCCGGCUUGAGAUUGGAGGUUGUUAUGCACAUGAUUCCUCCAGCAUCUUAUGAUAAAUCAAAGUCUUUGGGU
This 984-nucleotide ribosomal RNA is filed under the name uncultured eukaryote. Its description in RNAcentral is "SSU rRNA". It matches the Rfam family "Eukaryotic small subunit ribosomal RNA", at positions 122 to 1112 of the family's 1831-position model. The record is from RNAcentral.